GAGAAAAGAUCAUACAUUAACAUUCCUGGAUACUAAAAAUAACUAAGCAACAAGAUAAAAGCAUCAUAAGAAAAGCUGUCCAAUACUCACAAUAUUUUGCAGGAACCAUCAACUAUCUAUACCGCAUCAUCGACCUUAACUUCAUUAACUCUCAUCCUCCACUAACUGCUUGAAAUUGAUUGGGGAUGCAAACUUCACUGAACCAUUGUAAAUCGCCACUCCCGCAAGUUUGGAUGUGGCAUGCGUCGGAUGCAGCAGAUCCCAGAACAGGUAUUGAUGUCGAUUAGAGCAGAACGUAGCAUUCGGGGUGCAACCAGACUCGCCGUUGAACUUUCCAGAUCCACAGCAAGCAGUCUUAAUCUCUUUAUAACCUAGUGCAGUAGGGUUCCGAAUUAUGUUCUGCACAACAGCAUAGGAACUCCCUAU
Molecule: unclassified non-coding RNA, 426 nt
Filed under: Hevea brasiliensis (rubber tree)
Lineage: Eukaryota; Viridiplantae; Streptophyta; Magnoliopsida; Malpighiales; Euphorbiaceae
Source: RNAcentral